CUUGAUGAGCCUACCCUGGGUUAUCCCCCCAUCACUUGUCGUCCAUAAGAUAGCAUCAAACGCAAGAACCUACAAAAAGUGAUACACAAAAAGGUAAGAUGGCUGAUACUUGAUGGGCCUAUCACCAUUAGUACGUUGUGAGGCCUUCGAUUUGAUCGUACGGUAAUCAUACAUGCAAAAUGUGUACGGCCAAGCUCAAGGACUCACGGGAAGAUAUCACAACACAACUCUAGACACAAAUAAAAACAUACAAGCUUCAUAUUACAAGCCAGGGGCCUCGAGGGCUAGAAUACAGAGGCUCGAUAAACACAUGAGUCAGCGGAAGCAACAAAUAUCUGAGUUGCUCUGCAAACAAAAACGAUCACCGGAUCCUCGACCGGGAAGUAGGCGAUAUAGGAAUGAUCAAUGGGGGUUUUGCUUGCCUGGUUGCUCUGCAAACAAAAAACGGAUCCUCGACCGGGAAGUAGUCGAUCACCGGAUCAUCAUCGGUCUCACGGUCUAUCGGAAAGGAGUAACGACGGGGAAACACAAUAAAUAACAGAGCAAGCAAACACACCACAAAGCAUGACAAGGUAAUACACCGUGCUAGGGAUGACCAAAUGAAGUACUAAACGUUACAAACGAAGCAGGAAUAUAUCUCACAAUAUCUCCGAGGUCUUUGGCUAUUACCGAGCAAAUGAAAUGGAAGGAAAGUUCAUUGUUUAUCAUGCUAGGAGUAUGUGGCAAAUGAAUGGAUAGUGUAUUCGGAUUCAUGGAGUUUUUCUGAUCAACUUUCAUAUAUAAAAUAUCUUCAUGUUACUUCCAGUUUAAUUUCUAUUAUUUUUCAAAGUUUUUAAAGAUUUUUCUGAAUUUUUAUUAUUAUUAUUUAAAAAUAUUAAAUAAAACGUUAGGUACACUCGGUCUAGUGCACCCAACAUAAUAAUAGGGGCGGACAAGGGGGGCCAGUUGACUGGUCAAUCAACCAGUCAACACAAACUGAGUGGUGGGACCCUCCCGCUGAGUCGGCAACUUACUAGGUAGGCCCUAUCCACAAAAGAGUGGUAGGGCCCACCUGUCAUCUAGUGUGGGUCAAUUAGUAGUUAGUUCAAUUAAUUCAAGGGUAAUUAGCAGGUGGGGCAUGAUGUGAGUGGGUGUUAGAGGUUUUAAAUUAUGCUAAAACUAAUUGCUACAGUAAGGACCUAAUGUCAGUGGCUAUUAGCGCAUGGAUUAGGAGCUAAUGAAGGGGGGGCAUGCGUCAGUGACCCGCUGGCGUUUUGAACGUGGUGGCGUGCGGGCGACGCUCCGACGAGUACCAGAAACGACGACGAUGCUCGGGAAUGGUGCUCCGACCACCAUUACGAGCGUCGCGGCCAUCUACAAGAGGAGGAGGUCUGCGCGCGUCAAUCUUUUGUGUCGGCAGUGCCAAAGGGGUAGGGAACGGCAGGGCCGGCGAGGCCGAGCGACGACUGGAACUUGGUCUUGGCCAACACGCGGCGGGAGCGGCUCGAGGGCCUAGCUAGGUCUCGGGAUCGGCGCAGGAGGGGCUCUGGACCAUGUGUGUGGCAUGUGUGCAUGCUCAGGAGCACGCUUGGCUCGCAGGCGACGGCAACGGCGGCUGUCACAGCUCGGCAACGGCGACAGCUUGCUAGCAGGCCUACACAAGUGCAGAAGGAAGGGGACGGCAAGGAGCUGCUCAGAUCGUUACAGGGAAGGCCCGGUGAGGCGUGCACAGGUCGGAAUCAAGGGGAUCGGUCGGAGAUGUCCGUCGGGAUCGCGAAGGGGAAGUGCUCGGGGACGAUGUCACAGUGAUCCAUGGCUCGAAUUGGCGCGUGACGUAGACGAAGGGGAGGCCCACGGACACAGUUGUCCGCGAGUCCCACCACAGCACGGCCAUGGCACCGCUUGGUCGGGCGUGGAGGAGGAGUGAGCGAGGAGAGGGGGAAUGGGGUGUGCCUAGGGUUAGGGUUUGGCGAGGGGGGCAGGGUGCUCUUAACCUAGCUCCAGGUUCGCAGGAUGGUCGCCACGUGCAGCAUCUCGCGCACGAGCGGCCAUGGCGCCUCUCCUCCCUGCCCUGGGGAGAGGUUAGGGAAAAGGCUAGUCGUGGUGGGUUGGGCCUUCCUGUGCUGACACAAGGCCCAGGGGCACAGUGCCCCCUUAUCCCUUUUUUAUCUUUCUAAGCUAUUAUUAUUACUAUUUUAAUUAGAAAUCACAACCAAAUUGACUUUUUGUAAUUAUGCUACUUGGUCAAUUAUUAGCCUCGCAAUAUUGGCACAGCCACCAAAAAGUUUGAGGCAUUCUAAAAAGUGUUUGUAAAUUUACCUAAAUCAAAAAGAUAUUUAACAAUCGAUUUGGCCUCUGCUAAAUUGUUUUAGAGGCACCAAAACACUUUCUAAAAAGUUGGUCACAAUUUUAGCAGUGAUUAGAGAAUAGUUGCAACCCAUCCAUGAUUUUUGUUUUCAGGUUUGCAAAACUAUUUAAUCCACUUUUUAAAUGCAUUUUGAAAAUCAUUAGGGAAUUUAAAUGACUUAUGACUCCAAUGUGAUCAAGCAUGGUUUAGAAAAAAUGGAUUAGCUUAAUCCUCCUGGUUAUUGUAGCUUAAUUACGGGGGGUUACUCUAGCUUAAUCUAGGGAAGUCACAUCCGCAAUGGCGACUCACACAUAGGAGGAGCAGGGCGCCGACGAGGACGGCAAUGCAGGCCCCGACGAGGAUGGCUGGGCAACCAACCACCAGUGCAAGCACACUCCAUGUCCGCCGUCCACAAGCAAGGGAGACACUGGGCAGAUCUGGUGUCGGGUUCGCUGCCUUCAUCUUCUCACAGCAGCCUGCCGUUGCACUUCGCCUCUCGUCAACGAUGAAGGGGGUCGUGGGGAG
This 2851-nucleotide long non-coding RNA is filed under the name Hordeum vulgare. RNAcentral describes it as "long non-coding RNA (HVUL_LNC007269)". Lineage: Eukaryota; Viridiplantae; Streptophyta; Magnoliopsida; Poales; Poaceae. The record is from RNAcentral.